Pongo pygmaeus (Bornean orangutan) is the source of this 2169-nucleotide long non-coding RNA. RefSeq lists it as uncharacterized. The transcript has 3 exons. The record is from RefSeq and is a predicted model, not a curated record. Lineage: Eukaryota; Metazoa; Chordata; Mammalia; Primates; Hominidae.
CUGGCCUGUGAGAGUCCCUGUUUUCCUGGUUUUUCCCUUUCACCCAAUAAAACCCUGCUUCACUCACCCUUCAAACUGCCUGUGAGCCUAAAUUUUCAUGGCUGUGGGACGAACAAGGACCCCACCUUGAGCUCAACUAAGGAAAAGUCCUCCAACAGUUUUGGCAUGCAACGUGGAACCUCCAGAAGAGGGUCUGCCAGACAGACCCCUGCAGCUGGUGCGCCGUGUGAGGAACGCUGGGAAGGAAGCACAACAAGCCCCCAAAAACAAGUGAAAAGGACCGCGUGGUCAGUGAGUAAUCACAUGGCACAUCAAACCACACCAUGGCGUGCCUAGGACCCAACCUGGUACCAGAAAUGAAGGAACUGACCCUACAGGACCCCGCAGCCCUGGACAACGCGGCUUCCACGGACGACACAAGCCUCAAAUAUCACCUGAUGCUGAAGAGGAUAACUCAGAAGGCUGAACGAAUUCUACUCCAGACACAGACAUCAUUUACUCCAAAUAAUUUGUUCCUAGCUAUGCUUUCUGUUGAAUAUUGCAACUCACGUAGGGUAUCGAUCCUUUAUAUGCUCUCCCUUUGUCUGCAACCUGUACCUGCUACACUCUAUUGGGCUCACAUCUUAGAUCUGCCUUUCUUUCGCCCUGUCACCUGGGCAGACACCCGCUUCCCAGCCUAUAAUAACGUGACUGCUUGGCUAGGAGGGAUAGAUUUACCCCCAGUGGGGUCCCUCAAUAAUGGCACACAUUGGACUAAGGUGCCAGAUAGCCUAUAAUAACAUGACUGCUUGGCUAGGAGGGAUAGAUUUACCCCCAGUGGGGUCCCUCAAUAAUGGCACACAUUGGACUAAGGUGCCAGAUAACACUACAUAUAACUCCACUAUUCUCCCACUGUAUGUAAAUUAGAAAGGUUUUAACCCUUACUGUGCAUCUCUGCCCAAACACAAUUAUGGCUAAAUCAUGGCAAAGAAAAUGCCUUAACAGCCUUAGCUGCAGGUGGCCUCAAACCAGGUAAUACAAUCAAUGCCGCUUUCCCAAACAUUCCUUCCUGUGCUAAAGGACAAAGCCGGGAAAGUAAUGGAUUUCACUUUAGCUGGCACGUCUGUCAUGGGGGACAAGCCCGUGGCCUCCAGUGAGGCAAUUAUAACAUCUUAGACUGGAGCCCCCACAGCCAUUUGCAGGGCAGCCUUACUAAUGUCCUCACCUGUCAUGGCUCAAUCAGCAUUUCAUUGCCAUGUCCCAUUCCCCUAUGAUUUGGGCCGAUGGGGGGAUGGGAUAUCCCAGACCCCAAGUAAAGUCCAUGCCACCCCAAGACACUUCAUGGCACCUGGGACAUCUUGGCACCUCCCUUAACACCUGGCAUGGGACAUAUCAUAAUUCCAGUAAUGACUACACUAUGACCUUUAUUCACAAUCACACACAUCAGUGCCUAAUUUGCACUAUUCAUCCAUAUGUUUUCCUUAAGGGAACCAAUAUUUCUAUUUCACCCCAAUACUCCACGUUUGUGACCCAGGUGCAAGAACAGGCUUGGUUCGCCUCAUGUAUCACUAAUUACAAUAUAUUACAAUAUAUCUGUUCGAAAUAUUACUAGUGUCAUGGUAUUAAGGAGAUAAUCUGAGGCAUUCCUACCAGUCAAUUUGACACGUGAUUGGCAAGAUUCCUCUGCCCCUGCCACCUUAGAAUGUGCCUGUCAGACACAAAAGAUUCAUAGUUACACUUAUGGCCUUUAUAGUCUCAGCCACAAUCAUCCUGGCAACUGCUUGCCUUGCUGUGGCAUCUAUUACUGAAUCAGUACAAACAGCUGCUUUUGUAGGUAAUCUGGCCAAAAAUGUGUCUAAUGAACCUCUUACGGCAAGGUAUAGAUAAAAAAAUUCUUGCACGUCUGCAAGCCCUCGAGGCUGCUUUGGAAUAUGUUGGGGAGCGACAAGAUGCACUAACAUUCUGAUAGCAAUUAAAAUGAAACUAGUAGCAUAAACAUAAUCUGUGUCACUUCUCUACCAUGGAAUCAAUCAAUCCAUAGUUGGGAUGAGGUGAAACAACACCUCUGGGGAACCUUUCAUGACAAUUUAACAGCAGACGUAAAGCAAAUUAAAACUAAAAUUUUAGAAUCCGUUCACACUAUAGAUCUACACAGCCAAUAAACAGCCAUAUGGAAGGGUAUGCCAGAUC